RNAcentral lists this transfer RNA (68 nucleotides) under Conanalus pieli. RNAcentral describes it as "tRNA-Asp". Lineage: Eukaryota; Metazoa; Arthropoda; Insecta; Orthoptera; Tettigoniidae. The record is from RNAcentral.
AAGAAAUUAGUUAAAAAUAAUAACAUUAAUAUGUCAUAUUAAAAUUAUUAACUAAUUAAUAUUUCUUU